RNAcentral lists this transfer RNA (69 nucleotides) under Rhabdomys dilectus (mesic four-striped grass rat). Its description in RNAcentral is "tRNA-Ser". It matches the Rfam family "tRNA". From Rfam's summary of the family: Transfer RNA (tRNA) molecules are approximately 80 nucleotides in length. Their secondary structure includes four short double-helical elements and three loops (D, anti-codon, and T loops). The record is from RNAcentral. Lineage: Eukaryota; Metazoa; Chordata; Mammalia; Rodentia; Muridae.
GAGAAAGACAUAGUGGUUAUGGAGCUGACUUGAAAUCAGUUUUAGGGGGUUCGAAUCCUUCCUUUCUUA